This is an RNA transcript of Spinacia oleracea (spinach), 1272 nucleotides long. It is a transcript of the gene named 4-hydroxy-tetrahydrodipicolinate reductase 2, chloroplastic-like, with no coding region annotated. The transcript has 6 exons. Lineage: Eukaryota; Viridiplantae; Streptophyta; Magnoliopsida; Caryophyllales; Amaranthaceae. The record is from RefSeq and is a predicted model, not a curated record.
GUUGUAGGGUCUAAAUCUUACUGGAUCUUUUCCUGAAGAAUUCGUCUGAUUUGCAUGUCAAUAGAGCAGACAAGGGUUCUGUUAACAAGUACUGCUCGUUUCUAUCUAAGGAAAGGUGACUUUUCAAAGUAUACUCGAAAUCUGUCUCAAGCAAGCCAAAAUAUUUACUCUCAGUCCUUGCUGAUUCAGAGCGAAUAUGGUGUCAAAUAUGGACCAUAGUAUUGGCACCAGCAUUCCCUGAUGGACAUUGCUGCUGCAGUUGAGCUGCAUAAGCGGAACUUAUGUUGGGGUCCUGCCUAGUUGCGGAGUUGAAAGUGUAAAGUCUAUUGGUGAAGGAAUUGCAGUGAGCGCCUGGCUUUGCAGAGAACAAGAAAGCAAAUUUGCAGGAUCUUACAACUCUUAGUGAUGGAGUGGUGAGAGGCUCAUCUUAAUGUUUGAUAUUUGAAGUUAUAACUGAAGACCUUGGCAUGAAUACGGAAAAUGAUGCUGUCAUAUCUCCCCAGAUGGGAAAGCGGGUGUUUCAUUAUAGUCCCGAAGUCAGUUUCAAAAUAUCUAUCGCAGUUCACUUCAUUAAAUACAUGAACCCUUGGUUAUUUAAGGUUCUGGCGUUGGAAUGGAGAUUAUUUCUGAGCAAUUCCCUGGAGCUUUUUCUGGAUAUAUAUCUUCAGGUCACAGAUGCAUCUGGGACAGUUAAGGAUGUUAUCUCAUACUUUCAGAAACUUGGAGUAGACUUUGUUAUGGAUCAACUUGGCCCCGAUACAGAAAGAAACAUGAUACACACUCAUCAGAUCUUACUGUUGGUACAAAUCAUAAUCAUGGUGACAGAUUCAAUUCUACUUUCGUGGAUCCGCCUGAAAUGCUUAUGCCUAGCUUAGGACCUUCUAGGUCGGUUAGGGAAAUAAUUCAGGAAGUGAAGAUGGUUCAGGUGUGGGGAAACAUGAUUAGUACAAUAGAAAUUAAAGGCAAAGAACAGCAAAAAUGUGAUGCAAAUGUUUUAACCCGUGCUGACCUCUAUGAAUGGUUGAAAGCAAAGAACAGCGAUGAAGCACCCAUUAUCGUUGUUGGUCUUCAUAGUUAUUCAGCUUUGUAUACUUUCACAUGCUCCAUCCAAGCUGAAUUGUAUCCUUGGCCGAUUUUUGUCUUUGAUAUUUUUCUUGUAGUGAAUCUUAGAUUAUGGAUGCUAGUUUUUCAUAGGAUUGUAAUGUGAUCAAUUUUUAUAUUUGUAAUUAUAUACUAUACUAUUUAAUUUAAUUAUUUAUAUAAUUGGAUACU